CUGGAUUAGAUACCCCACUAUGCUUAGCCCUAAACUUUGAUUAAUUACAAUUCACUCCGCCCGGGGACUACGAGCUUUAGCUUAAAACCCAAAGGACUUGGCGGUGCCCUAUUCCACCUAGAGGAGCCUGUUCUAUAAUCGAUAAUCCACGAUAUACCUCACCAUUUCUUGCCAAAACUGCCUAUAUACCGCCGUCGUCAAUUUACCCUUUGAAGGACCCAUAGAAAGUUAAAAGGUACUCGCCAAAACGUCAGGUCAAGGUGUAGCGAAUGAAAUGGGAAGAAACGGGCUACAUUUUCUAAAAUAGACUAAACGGAAAAUCAAUAUGAAAUCUGAUCAAGAAGGAGGAUUUAGUAGUAAAAAGAAAUCAGCAAGUUCUUUUUAACAUGGCCCUAGGGCGCGCACACACCGCCCGU
RNAcentral lists this ribosomal RNA (416 nucleotides) under Leptobrachium sp. SH-2002. RNAcentral describes it as "partial 12S ribosomal RNA". It matches the Rfam family "Bacterial small subunit ribosomal RNA", at positions 773 to 1397 of the family's 1533-position model. The record is from RNAcentral. Lineage: Eukaryota; Metazoa; Chordata; Amphibia; Anura; Megophryidae.